RNAcentral lists this transfer RNA (87 nucleotides) under Bacteroidota bacterium. Its description in RNAcentral is "tRNA-Ser". It matches the Rfam family "tRNA". From Rfam's summary of the family: Transfer RNA (tRNA) molecules are approximately 80 nucleotides in length. Their secondary structure includes four short double-helical elements and three loops (D, anti-codon, and T loops). Lineage: Bacteria; Pseudomonadati; Bacteroidota. The record is from RNAcentral.
GGAGAGUUGUCCGAGUGGUUGAAGGAGCACGCCUGGAAAGUGUGUAUACCUGUAAGGGUAUCGAGGGUUCGAAUCCCUCACUCUCCG